GCAGCAGCCGCGGUAAUACGUAGGGUGCGAGCGUUAAUCGGAAUUACUGGGCGUAAAGCGUGCGUAGGCGGUGAGUUAAGUCUGCUGUGAAAUCCCCGGGCUCAACCUGGGAAUGGCAGUGGAUACUGGACGACUAGAGUGUGGUAGAGGGUAGCGGAAUUCCUGGUGUAGCAGUGAAAUGCGUAGAGAUCAGGAGGAACAUCCAUGGCGAAGGCAGCUACCUGGACCAACACUGACACUGAGGCACGAAAGCGUGGGGAGCAAACAGGAUUAGAUACCCCGGUAGUCCCUGUCUCUUAUAA
This 302-nucleotide ribosomal RNA is filed under the name uncultured bacterium. RNAcentral describes it as "partial 16S ribosomal RNA". It matches the Rfam family "Bacterial small subunit ribosomal RNA", at positions 508 to 809 of the family's 1533-position model. The record is from RNAcentral.